This 221-nucleotide unclassified non-coding RNA is filed under the name Hevea brasiliensis (rubber tree). Lineage: Eukaryota; Viridiplantae; Streptophyta; Magnoliopsida; Malpighiales; Euphorbiaceae. The record is from RNAcentral.
AGUAGUCGGAAAUACAGCAAAAAGUUACUACAACUAAUCCUCAUCAAACGGAGGACAGAUUCAAAAGGAGCACAGGUAAUCUACCAAUCAACGGAAGUCAACAGCUCAACCAUAUUAGAUAUGCUCCAUAUUUUACAACACCACAACAUAAAGUCAGGACGCUAAAUGAACCCAAAGUUGGGAUGAUCUUUUACAAACCCAUGUCAUCACAAGCAUGCCUC